Molecule: long non-coding RNA, 2144 nt
Organism: Pangasianodon hypophthalmus (striped catfish)
Lineage: Eukaryota; Metazoa; Chordata; Actinopteri; Siluriformes; Pangasiidae
Exons: 3
Source: RefSeq, a predicted model, not a curated record
GAUGGUAUUACAUCAGAAUUUUAUAAAGCUUUUAUAGACAGUAUAUCUAAAUUUCUGCUAGCUGUACAUGAAAAGGCCAUUAACAAGGGAUUCUUAUCUUCAAUUAGACAGAGUGUCAUCACCCUAAUUCCUAAACCAAAAAGAUAUCUUAUUAUUAGAAAAUCGUUGACCUAUUUCAUUACUAAAAAAAGAGCAGUCCAAUGAUCCAAUUUUGAAUAUCAAAAUUCCUUUGAUAAUUUUUGUUCAGACAGGUCUCAAGAUGAUGUGAGCCAAAUUUGGUGAAGAUUGGACAAAAUCUGGAGGAGGAGUAGCAAAAAUGGCAGUUAGAUGUAAGCAUUUUUAGCAUAUUAUUGUAACUUUUGACCAGUAGGUGGCGAAAUUUGUUGCAUAGCCUCAGGUCAGCUCACUUCCUGUUUGGCAGCAUCACCAUUAGAUUCAUUGUCUCAUUACAGGCAAAUUGUUUGGAGUAAUCAAAAUUCUUUUGAUAAUGUUUGUGAGGCUUACUCUGAAGAUGAUGGGUGUCAAAUCUGGGGCCGGCUGCUUAAACACAGACAUUAUCUUAAGACUGAGUCUAAGAAUUAGUCUGAUCAACUAAAGUCACCAGGGACAGACUGUUGCAUAAAACAAGCUCAUGAUUGUCUUUAGUAAGACAGUCUAAUCUGCAUUGCUUUGUGGGUAAAAUAAGACACUGAACUUAAACACAAUAGCCUUCAUCACAGUUUUCCUUCAUUGAAAACAUUUGUUUAUUAGAGGAAUACAAUGCUGCCAAAUCAAUUUUAAUGAACAAAUUUUAGUGAUUACAAUGCAAAUAAUAAGAAAACACAAGACUUGGACCACAAUAACGGAGAAAGUUAAUUGUGUCAAUCCGUCGGUCACACAAACCGUCAAAGAUGUGCAGAAACGUUUUAAAAACAUGGUGCAAGAGGUAAAGAAGGAGAUAUUCAAGCGAAAAAAUCCAGCAACCGGAGGAGGACCAACUCCUAAAUUAAAAAGUACAACAGAAAUGAUCAUUGAAAUAUACGGUAAUGAAUCUCUGAUGUUUUGGGGAAUCCCCGGAGGGAGGGAGAGUGGAGUUUCCGGCAGGACGUUACCCACAGCAACGGAAGAUACAUUGCCUCACAUAGCCGUCACAUCAGCUCCACUUGGACAGUCUUUCACUCAAGAUGAAGAUGUGCCAGUGACAAGCCAGGACCAAACAGCACAAAGCGAAGAAGAUGAUUUGGACAACAGCAGCCAAGUGGAACCUGUGGGAAGUGGCUCAGACACUGAGACACAGAAAGACACUUCAAGCAAUAUAACCAUGAACCAUAUACUGGAAAAACAAUAUGAAGUAUUGACAUUGGAAGAGGCAAAACUAAAAUUAGAAACACAAAAACUAGAAUUAGAGAAAACUAAGCUGAAGUUGGAGCUACAGAACUUUGGACAUGAACUGCAGAUCUCAUUAACCAUUGUCCAAGAAUUAAUUAAUCAAUUAAUUGUAUUUAAUCAUUUCUGAGAUUUUCCUGUUGACUUUACUUGUUAUGUAGUUAAAUUAAAGCAAUGUUUGCUAUACGUCUACACAGAAUCUAAAUUAAUUUAGUUGUAUUUAAGUGAUUUGAAGAAUCACAUUUUUGUAUAUAUUGAUUUGGUGAAUAAAUUAUAUGUCAAGUACAUUUCAAAAUAGUCAUUCUUUCAGUUUUCUCAGUCAAAAAGAGAAAAUGUUUUCUAUAAUCAUUUGUCGAAUAUAACGCCUAGAUCCAUCUUAAUCUCCUGCCUCAGUGAUCUCCAAAGCUGGUUCUUCAAGCAUUUGGUCUUCCUCCCGGUCUGGGAGUGCCAGAUCUCUAUUAAAAGGAAAAUGAUCUUUAACUCAUAUCAUUUACAAUAAAAUCAUUGAGGAAAAUGUAGCUACAAGUUGAAAGUUGACAGUUAAAUUGUAUUUAUUACCUUGCUGUGUUGUGUAAAACAACGCACACACAGAUUAUGUUGCAGACCCUGUCUGGUUUCAUUUUGAACUCUCCAUGCAGACAAUGAAAUCUUCGUUCAGGAUUCCAAAAUACCUUUCAGUAACAUUCCAUGUUUUGGCAUGAGCUGUGUUGUACCAAGUUUGAGGCACACUGACUGGGUUCAAGAAGGGUGUGAGAAGCCAGGGUUUUAGUGGAUAACCA